GCGAUGGUGCUGCGCGGCAUGAGCGCCGGCGCGCUGCUGGUGCGCGGCAUGCCGAAGGUGCUGAGGCUGCUGUCCAUCGUCGGCACCAUCGCG
RNAcentral lists this transfer RNA (93 nucleotides) under Neoroseomonas lacus. RNAcentral describes it as "tRNA-Ser". Lineage: Bacteria; Pseudomonadati; Pseudomonadota; Alphaproteobacteria; Acetobacterales; Acetobacteraceae. The record is from RNAcentral.